Molecule: non-coding RNA, 24 nt
Filed under: Arabidopsis thaliana (thale cress)
Lineage: Eukaryota; Viridiplantae; Streptophyta; Magnoliopsida; Brassicales; Brassicaceae
Source: RNAcentral
UUAGUGCCAUUUGUGUCAAUCCCC